Molecule: ribosomal RNA, 1406 nt
Filed under: uncultured bacterium
Lineage: Bacteria
Description: 16S ribosomal RNA
Rfam family: Bacterial small subunit ribosomal RNA
Source: RNAcentral
UUCGCCCUUAGAGUUUGAUUCUGGCUCAGGACGAACGCUGGCGGUGUGCUUAACACAUGCAAGUUGAACGAAGCAUAUAGUAGGAAGCCUUCGGGUGGAAUAGUAUAUGACUGAGUGGCGGACGGGUGAGUAACGCGUGAGCAACCUGCCUGCAAGAGGGGGACAACAGCUGGAAACGGCUGCUAAUACCGCAUAAGACCACGGCAUCGCAUGAUGAAGAGGUCAAAGGAGGAAUCCACUUGCAGAUGGGCUCGCGUCCCAUUAGGUAGUUGGUGAGGUAAGGGCUCACCAAGCCGACGAUGGGUAGCCGACCUGAGAGGGUGAUCGGCCACACUGGAACUGAGACACGGUCCAGACUCCUACGGGAGGCAGCAGUGGGGAAUAUUGGGCAAUGGGGGAAACCCUGACCCAGCAACGCCGCGUGAGGGAAGAAGGCUUUCGGGUUGUAAACCUCUGUCCUUGGGGGCGAAGGAAGUGACGGUACCCAAGGAGGAAGCUCCGGCUAACUACGUGCCAGCAGCCGCGGUAAUACGUAGGGAGCAAGCGUUGUCCGGAAUUACUGGGCGUAAAGGGUGCGUAGGCGGCCUGGUAAGUCAGAUGUGAAAUACCCGUGCUUAACAUGGGGGGUGCAUCUGAUACUGUCAGGCUUGAGUGCAGGAGAGGAAAGCGGAAUUCCUAGUGUAGCGGUGAAAUGCAUAGAUAUUAGGAGGAACACCAGUGGCGAAGGCGGCUUUCUGGACUGUAACUGACGCUGAGGCACGAAAGCGUGGGGAUCAAACAGGGUUAGAUACCCCUGGUAGUCCACGCCGUAUAAGGAUGGAUACUAGGUGUAGGGGUCAAGAGGCCUCUGUGCCGGAGCAAACGCAAUAAGUAUCCCGCCUGGGGAGUACGGCCGCAAGUCUGAAACUCAAAGGAACUGACGGGGGCCCGCACAAGCAGCGGAGCAUGUGGUUUAAUUCGAAGCAACGCGAAGAACCUUACCAAGGCUUGACAUCCCUGUGACGUAUAUAGAGAUAUAUAUUCCCUUCGGGGCACAGGAGACAGGUGGUGCAUGGUUGUCGUCAGCUCGUGUCGUGAGAUGUUGGGUUAAGUCCCGCAACGAGCGCAACCCUUAUGAAUAGUUGCCAGCGAGUAAAGUCGGGAACUCUAUUGAGACUGCCGGGGACAACUCGGAGGAAGGUGGGGACGACGUCAAAUCAUCAUGCCCCUUAUGUCUUGGGCUACACACGUGCUACAAUGGCCGGUACAAAGAGCAGCGAAGCCGUAAGGACAAGCGAAUCUCAAAAAGCCGGUCCCAGUUCGGAUUGUGGGCUGCAACCCGCCCACAUGAAGUUGGAGUUGCUAGUAAUCGCGAAUCAGCAUGUCGCGGUGAAUGCGUAACCGGGCCUUGCACACACCGCCCGUCA